UGGGGAAUAUUGGACAAUGGGCGCAAGCCUGAUCCAGCCAUGCCGCGUGAGUGAUGAAGGCCCUAGGGUUGUAAAGCUCUUUCACCGGUGAAGAUAAUGACGGUAACCGGAGAAGAAGCCCCGGCUAACUUCGUGCCAGCAGCCGCGGUAAUACGAAGGGGGCUAGCGUUGUUCGGAUUUACUGGGCGUAAAGCGCACGUAGGCGGACUUUUAAGUCAGGGGUGAAAUCCCGGGGCUCAACCCCGGAACUGCCUUUGAUAAUGGAAGUCUUGAGUAUGGUAGAGGUGAGUGGAAUUACGGGUGUAGAGGUGAAAUUCGUAGAUAUUCGGAGGAACACCAGUGGCGAAGGCGGCUCACUGGACCAUUACUGACGCUGAGGUGCGAAAGCGUGGGGAGCAAACAGG
This 404-nucleotide ribosomal RNA is filed under the name Actinomycetes bacterium. Its description in RNAcentral is "Actinobacteria bacterium partial 16S ribosomal RNA". It matches the Rfam family "Bacterial small subunit ribosomal RNA", at positions 355 to 776 of the family's 1533-position model. Lineage: Bacteria; Bacillati; Actinomycetota; Actinomycetes. The record is from RNAcentral.